RNAcentral lists this ribosomal RNA (497 nucleotides) under uncultured bacterium. RNAcentral describes it as "partial 16S ribosomal RNA". It matches the Rfam family "Bacterial small subunit ribosomal RNA", at positions 28 to 507 of the family's 1533-position model. The record is from RNAcentral.
GAUGAACGCUGGCGGCGUGCCUAAUACAUGCAAGUCGAGCGAACGGACGAGAAGCUUGCUUCUCUGAUGUUAGCGGCGGACGGGUGAGUAACACGUGGAUAACCUACCUAUAAGACUGGGAUAACUUCGGGAAACCGUAGCUAAUACCGGAUAAUAUUUUGAACCGCAUGGUUCAAAAGUGAAAGACGGUCUUGCUGUCACUUAUAGAUGGAUCCGCGCUGCAUUAGCUAGUUGGUAAGGUAACGGCUUGCCAAGGCAACGAUGCAUAGCCGACCUGAGAGGGUGAUCGGCCACACUGGAACUGAGACACGGUCCAGACUCCUACGGGAGGCAGCAGUAGGGAAUCUUCCGCAAUGGGCGAAAGCCUGACGGAGCAACACCGCGUGAGUGAUGAAGGUCUUCGGAUCGUAAAACUCUGUUAUUAGGGAAGAACAUAUGUGUAAGUAACUGUGCACAUCUUGACGGUACCUAAUCAGAAAGCCACGGCUAACUACGUG